GUCUCUGUGGUGUAGUUGGUUAUCACGUGGGUCUCAUAUGUUCUUCAUUCGUAUGACUAGGAAGUCGCAACUUCUUGGAUAUCCCAAGGCCGGGAGUUCGAACCUCCCCGGGGACA
Molecule: non-coding RNA, 116 nt
Organism: Aspergillus heteromorphus CBS 117.55
Lineage: Eukaryota; Fungi; Ascomycota; Eurotiomycetes; Eurotiales; Aspergillaceae
Source: the annotation of a RefSeq genome assembly